RNAcentral lists this ribosomal RNA (492 nucleotides) under uncultured bacterium. RNAcentral's name for it is "partial 16S ribosomal RNA". It matches the Rfam family "Bacterial small subunit ribosomal RNA", at positions 29 to 507 of the family's 1533-position model. The record is from RNAcentral.
AGUGAACGCUGGCGGUAGGCCUAAUACAUGCAAGUCGAACGGCAGCACAGUAAGAGCUUGCUUUUACGGGUGGCGAGUGGCGGACGGGUGAGGAAUACAUCGGAAUCUACUUUUACGUGGGGGAUAACGUAGGGAAACUUACGAUAAUAGAGAAUAUGACCUACGGGUGAAAGCAGGGGAUCAUGGGAGCUUGCGCGAUAGAAUGAGCCGAUGUCGGAUUAGCUAGUUGGCGGGGUAAAGGACCACCAAGGCGACGAUCCGUAGCUGGCCUGAGAGGAUGAUCAGCCACACUGGAACUGAGACACGGUCCAGACUCCUACGGGAGGCAGCAGUGGGGAAUAUUGCGCAAUGGGCGCAAGCCUGACCCAGCCAUGCCGCGUGGGUGAUGAAGGCCUUCGGUUUGUAAAGCCCUUUUAUUGGGAAAGAAAAGCUGCGUAUUAAACCCCCCCUGUUCUGACGGUACCCAAUGAAUAGGCACCGGCUAACUUCGUG